AACAGUUCGAAAGGACUGCUAAUACCGGAUGUGAUCGCGGAGAUUAGAGGCUCUGUGAUUAAAGGAGAAAUUUCGCUUCGAGAGGGGCCUGCGUCCCAUCAGCUAGUUGGUAAGGUAAAGGCUUACCAAGGCGAUGACGGUAGGGACCUGAGAGGGUUGGCCCCCCCACAAUGGAACUGAAACACGGUCCAUACACCUACGGGUGGCAGCAGUAGGGAAUAUUGCAUAAUGGGCGAAAGCCUGAUGCAGCAACGCCGCGUGUGCGAUGAAGGCCUUCGGGUCGUAAAGCACUUUUGGAGGGGAUGAGGAAGGACAGUACCCUUCGAAUAAGCUUCGGCUAACUACGUG
RNAcentral lists this ribosomal RNA (348 nucleotides) under uncultured bacterium. RNAcentral describes it as "bacterial SSU rRNA". It matches the Rfam family "Bacterial small subunit ribosomal RNA", at positions 145 to 507 of the family's 1533-position model. The record is from RNAcentral.